GUCUACGGGCAUACUACGUUGAAAAUACCACCUCUCGUCCGAUCCCUGAAGUUGAACAACGUCGAGCCGAGUCAGUACAUGGGAGGGAGAACACUUGGAAACACGUCGUAGACU
Molecule: ribosomal RNA, 114 nt
Filed under: Leptotrombidium deliense
Lineage: Eukaryota; Metazoa; Arthropoda; Arachnida; Trombidiformes; Trombiculidae
Source: RNAcentral